AAACCAGUGACUCAACUGUGUUUCUCCACAAGGCUCUUCCAAGGACGAUGCUCAAGAAAGGAUACCAGCGUCCGGUCACAGGGCCAGGUCCCCCGGCUCCCUUCAGCUUAAGAGGCGAGAAAGUUGGGUCUGAGAGAAUGGAACGUCGUGGUGCCCACGGAGGCUGCGAUGUGCUGUGUAGCAUCAGAGACACAAUCUCACUGCAGUCUUGAGAUGUCAGGGGAGAAACUUCAUUUGAUCCUGCUAAGCUUACAGAGUACAGAUGGAGAGAAAGACUAAAACUCCAGGCUGACAGCGUCCCGUCAACUUCCAGUCAUUGUUCCAUCUGCGAGCGUUGCUUCUGGCAGAGACCUGUUCCCCGGCAACAGUGCUUCCUGCUUACUGAGCACCCUGGCACUUCUCGCCACCUUGUUUCAGCUUCAUCACACUCUGCAAGGUAGGUUUUAUGUCCAUUCAAGAAAUGAAGGCAGUGAGCCCCUGAGAGCUUUGGAAAGUGACGGCAGACACAGGAGAAGAGCCCAGGUCGAAGCCCAAGGCUGUUGAUGCCAAAGCUCGUGCACCUUCACCUCCUCCUCUGCUGUCUGUCACAGGGCGAGGCAGACCUCGGACAGGACGUGUGACCCAGGUGAGUGCCUAUCAGCUACCCAUGAAUCCUUCAAAAGAGAAUUUCAGUCUCAAAUUAUGAAAAUUGUGUGAGGAACACCUGAGUAGACCGCCUUUGUGAAAUGUAUAUAACUUGGGGAGAACGAAGACGAAGGAACGGGUUUUCUCGUCUUGAGCAGAAUCAGGCCAAUAACUUGAUUUCCUUCCCAGAGGGUUUCCAUCACUUCCCUCGCCCAGAGCAGAGCCAUCUCCCACCCUCAGGCCGCAGAAGGGUCCCCAGCCCAGGUCAACCAGCUGCCUUGAUAGAACCUGCUCUACUGAGUUUCUGCUGGUCCUCAGUUUCCCCAGAAUUUCCAUUCCUAAAGGGCUUUGGGGCAGCAGUCUUAACUGAAAGAGGCCGCUGAAACUCCAGUGUUACGGCAUUUUGCAUAAAAUGGAAGAAGCGUGAUCGUCUGCAUCAAAGGAGGGUGGGAGCCCCAGACCUCCCCACUGGAGGCCUCUGCUCUCACCUCUGCUCCCCUUCCUCUGCCCACUGCUCUGUGUCCUCCCUGGGGGCCCCUGUUCCUCUUGUCCAGCUGUUUACGCUCUCAGACUUAAGAAGUCAAAGGAAAAUGAGGUCAGAGUUCACAAGCACCACCAGGCUCCACCGCGGCCCCAGCUCUGUUUUUUUUUCUGGAAAACAGAUGGCUCAGCCGGUGGUGAUGGACAAAACCUCAAAGAAGGGGUCUGCAUUGCCUGUGCGUCUCCACGCACUCUGCAGGGGGGUCUUAAGUUUCAAUCAUCGCUGAUCUACAUGAUUUUAUUAUCAGACUGUCGUGGACACAGGCUAAGGGCACUCAGACUGUGCUCCCAGCUCCCCCCGGCGGCCGCCUCCUGUCCCCUUCGGCUCGUGCAGGAGGAGGGGAGAGGCUGGUCCAGAACCCCCUGCACCACCACCACUGUGGCAGGGCUGAGCCACCACCUCCUAGCAGCCCUGCAGCCUCGGACAAGCACUGAGCCUCCAGGCCUCGGUGACCCUGGUGUCAGGGGGGGCAUUCAUCUCAGAGAUGGGAGUUGUGAGGAAUCCUGCAAGGUGCUCAGCUCAGCACGGGCUCCAUCCGUGACCGUCUCCUGUUUCUCCCAAACGGCCAUGUUCGAAUGUCUCUGCUGCCAAGAGGCCUGAGAGUCAUGGUGUCCGGAUUUAAUACACGCUGACACCAUCUGGGAAAGGGUUAAAGCCUGAGCUUGUUUCCGCAGCUGACCUCUGCCGGGACCCCGCAGAGACGCAGGCUCCUGGGGGCCAGCCUCACGCAGAUGAACAUCUUCAUUCAGUUCCGUCUGCAUCAUCCAGCCCCAUGCAGGCCCUUCUCCCACCUGCUUGACCCUGACGUCCCUCUGUGCGAGGGCGAAGUUCUUCAUCCUUUAAUUGGAGAUCAUGCUUCAAUCGUAAAGUUUCCCGCUCUGCGCCCCCCCUCUGCCCUCUGCCCUCUGCCCUCUGCCCUCUGCCCCAGCACUGUGAACCCAGAUGGCCAUUUCCUUUUUCCUAAAACGAGCCUCAUGCCCACUGUUGUAAAUGCGGGGCAGGUAGAAGGCUCGGGGUGGGGCUGUGUGCUGAGCAUCCUUAUCUGAGUGUUUAGACACAGCUGGCAGAUCCCUGUUCCCUGUUGCCCCUUCUAAGAGAGAGCAGGGGAGGGUCCUUCUCUCGCCUUGGCCCAGGUAACCCCACUGGCACAUAAGCAAUGAGCAUGACCCCACAGGAGCAGAAGCAAGGGGACCAGCCAUGCCUGGUCCUACGAGGAAGCUCGGAAGAGAGGCUGACGAUUGUGUACAGGCGGUACAAGGACGAAAACGCUGUCUCCGUGGAAGGUCCCAGAUUUUCUCCAGGCCAAGCCUGAAGGUCUCUUUGUUAGUGAGUCCAUAGUGAUCAAAGCAGAGAUUAAAGGCAGAAGGACCCUGAGGCUGGCUCCACAGAGUGAGCAGGGGGCCCCAGGCCGGGGAGGGUGGGGACACAGCACCGGGCUCCAGUCAGAGGGGCAGACAUGCCCAUUCCCGGCGAGCGCAGCAAUCUGCGCGGGUUCCAGGCCCCUCCUCUCUCUGAACCUCUAGCAGGUCGCCUUGGUAGGGUGCGAAGAAUCUCGGUUUCCCCGCAAAAGCCAGGGGAGUUGGGGAUGGAGGUGAGCAGUUUAAAGACAUUCAGGGACCAGAACAACCGGGGGAAUAGUAUGUAUUUUUCUGAACAGCUUUUAAAGAGGGUUUCACCUCGUGGUAAAACUGCAGACGCCAUCUGGACAGGCAAUGAGCCUGAAACGCAGUGGAGGGGAUUUGGUUCUGCACCUUCACACGGGGCAGAGCUCCUCGUGUCCACUUUUUUUUGGGGGGGAGGGGCGGCAGGAGGGCUGUGAAGAAAUGCAUGCUGCACAGAUAAAGGAAUGUCCGGCAUUAAAUGACAGGAGAAAGUGAUGAUUCUGGAGCCCUUGCAGGUACAGUACAAAUUUGAUCACCAGGCCCUGGGGCAGAGCGGCCUCUAAUUUUAGCCGCUGCCACUUGUUCCUUCACUGCCCCCCGCCCCCGACCCCUGCCCCAACUUUCCCCACAGUGAAGAUUGCAAGGAACAGCUGUUUUGGGUUUAGAAACCCUCUAUCCUGCUUAUCAGAUCUACUUUGCCAUUGGUUGAGACUAAUACAUGCGAUGUCAAGGUUUAUCUUUUAAUAAAAAGUACAGUUAAAUUCAUUUUUUCUUCCAAUUUUAAUAAGAUCCUUUGAGAUGACUUUUGUUUGGUAAAACCACAUUGGGAAUCACUGAUAGAGUGUGUGUUUGUUGACUUCUUUUCUAAGUUUCUUCUUCUGGAGAAAUGUUUGUUUCAGAGGAUCAUGGAUAUAGUUCUGCAAUCCCUCAUCCACAAUUGGAAAACCCAAACAGCUCUGAAAACAGGAAGUGUUUGGUAACACAUUUGGCAGCAAAGCCUGACCUGACCUGAAUGCUUUCAAAGUCAAAACCUGACCUGAGUUGCAUGAGCCUGUUUUAGUUUAUCCCACAAGUGGUGUAAAUGCAAAGACGCUUUUCUGGAGAAACAUUAAGGUGCUUUAUUCCACAGUGUUGCCCUAGACCCCAUUUUUACAUGCUAUAUGGUAUAUUACUGUCCUAGAAUCUGAAAGAAAUCUGAAUUCUGAAACACGGCUGGCCUCACGAGUUUCAGAUUAGGAAUUGUGGUUCCGUAGACAUUUGUUAAAUAAAUGACCGAACGUCCUAAGGGCUUCACGAGGGCAUGUUUAUUCUGCUCACCCAGGCCAGCUCUGCAGCGAUGGCUCUAGCCUUUCUGUCACCUCAUCAGACCUGCAUCUGUGGGCCUGAGGUGCCCACAGCUUCCUCUGUUUCCUUUGUGGUGUGAGGGGAUGAGUGGAGGUUUCACCACAUCACCUGCUCAACCACUUGCCCCUCCCUUCAACCACCAAAUAUGUGUUAAGUGUCGCCACCAUGCGCUAUGUGAGCACAGAAAGGCAAAGCAGAGUGAGACUCAGGCUCUGACCUUUCACGACUCCUGUUCGUACAGAGAACAGAUCGGUGGUUGCCAGAGGUUGGGAGGGGCAUGGGCAGUGCAGAAGGGGGUGAAGGGGGUCAAAAGGGACGCACUUGCAGUUAUACAAUAACUAAGUCCUGGGAAGUACAGCAUGUGACUACAGUUAAUAAUACUGUGUUGCAUAUUUGAGAGUUGCUGAGAGAGUAGACUGUAAAAGUUCUCAUCACAAGAAAAAAAAUAUUAUAACUAUGGAUUCUGAUGGAUGAUAACUUACUGUGGUGACCGUUUAGCAAUAUAUACAAAUAGCAAAUCACUGUGUCAUACACCUGAAACUAAUAUAAUGUUAUAUGUCCAUUAUAUCUCAAUAAAAAUAAAAUUUUAAAAGAAAGUAAAAACCACGAAUAAAAUAAAAAUAACUCCUAUUUGUAAUAUUAAUGUGAUGAAAGCAGAAUGUUAGAAAUCUAAACUAUCUUCUCUUGUAUAAAAUGGUCAUUCAUUCGUUCCAGCACACAUUUAUUAAAUUCUCCACUCGGCCAGGCACAAAAAGAGGACAGACCUCGUUGGGGCACUAAGUCUAGUGGGAGCCUGAUGCCCGAGGAGCAUUUACCCCUCGGCAGCCAUCCUCGCGCAGUGGGGAGAAAAUGCCCGUCUCUGGCCAGAGAGCUUCGCCAAAGGCGGUGCUCUCUGAGCAGACGGGGUGCUUACUUAGGAGAGAACCAGGGCAAGGGUAUCUAAGGAGCAGGCAGAACCCGUGCAAAGGCACUCAGACUGGACAUCAUUGGCGCGUGGGGCAAGAGUCCACUGGGAACGUCUGCAGGUCAAGAUGCACGUGGAGAAAAAGAACAUUUCAAAAGUUUUAAAAUGGUACAGAUGAACCGGUUUGCAGGGCAGAAAUAGAGACACAGGUGUAGAGAACAAACGUAUGGACACCAAGGGGGGAAAGCGGGGGGAGGGUGGUGGUGGUGGGAUGAAUUGGGAGAU
This is a long non-coding RNA of Orcinus orca (killer whale), 5080 nucleotides long. RefSeq lists it as uncharacterized. The record is from RefSeq and is a predicted model, not a curated record. NCBI's taxonomy places the organism in Eukaryota, Metazoa, Chordata, Mammalia, Artiodactyla, Delphinidae. The transcript has 3 exons.